GGACGAACGCUGGCGGCGUGCCUACUACAUGCAAGUUGAGCGAUGAAGAUUGGUGCUUGCACCAAUUUGAAGAGCAGCGAACGGGUGAGUAACGCGUGGGGAAUCUGCCUUUGAGCGGGGGACAACAUUUGGAAACGAAUGCUAAUACCGCAUAACAACUUUAAACAUAAGUUUUAAGUUUGAAAGAUGCAAUUGCAUCACUCAAAGAUGAUCCCGCGUUGUAUUAGCUAGUUGGUGAGGUAAAGGCUCACCAAGGCGAUGAUACAUAGCCGACCUGAGAGGGUGAUCGGCCACAUUGGGACUGAGACACGGCCCAAACUCCUACGGGAGGCAGCAGUAGGGAAUCUUCGGCAAUGGACGAAAGUCUGACCGAGCAACGCCGCGUGAGUGAAGAAGGUUUUCGGAUCGUAAAACUCUGUUGGUAGAGAAGAACGUUGGUGAGAGUGGAAAGCUCAUCAAGUGACGGUAACUACCCAGAAAGGGACGGCUAACUACGUG
Molecule: ribosomal RNA, 498 nt
Filed under: uncultured bacterium
Lineage: Bacteria
Description: partial 16S ribosomal RNA
Rfam family: Bacterial small subunit ribosomal RNA
Source: RNAcentral